This is an RNA transcript of Elgaria multicarinata webbii, 2434 nucleotides long. It is a transcript of the gene named cytochrome P450 2C23-like, with no coding region annotated. NCBI's taxonomy places the organism in Eukaryota, Metazoa, Chordata, Lepidosauria, Squamata, Anguidae. The record is from RefSeq and is a predicted model, not a curated record. The transcript is spliced from 10 exons.
UGUCAGCAUGCCUGUUACCUUCAUUUCUCAUGCAGAACUGAAGUGAAGUCCCAAGGGUGCAAGCAACUGAACCUCUAGGAGCAUCGCCCUGGUAUAAAGGUGGCGCAAACAGAACUUUUCAUUUGUUAUAGGUUUUUAUCCUUUGCAUUUGUCCAUUUGUGGCAAGUACUUAAUCUGUAAACAGAAAGCCGGGUGGCUCCUCGGGUUUAUAGCGAGGUCUUGGGGAGCUCAAGUCCUUCUUUGCACAACUGAAGUUCCAGCAGCAAAGUGAAUCACAGCCUUCAUCUUCAAAAUGGGUCUCUUUGGGGUGCUUCCCUCCUUCUUCCUGCUUUCCUGCAUCAUCUUCUUGCUCAUCCUGAUCAGGAGGAGGCACAUCAAGGCGGGCAACCUGCCCCCUGGGCCUACCCCACUGCCUUUGCUGGGCAACUUUCUCCAAGUCAAUUUUUGGAACACCAUCUCAUCUUUCUACAAGCUCAAGGAGAAGUAUGGUCCAGUUUUCACCAUCUACAGGGGCUCCUCGCCAGUUGUGGUGUUGUGUGGAUAUAAAACCGUGAAGGAAGCAUUUAUAAAUAAUGCAGAAAUUUUUGGUGAUAGGGGUCCGCUGAUAGAAAUGGGUGAUUCCAACAAGUAUGGAAUGGGUUUGUCCAACGGAGAACGGUGGAGGCAGCUCCGUCGCUUCUCCCUUUUCACCCUGAGGAACUUUGGGAUGGGGAAGAGACCCUUUGAGGAGCGUAUCCAGGAGGAGGCCCAGUUCCUCGUGGAAGCACUGCAGAAAACACAAGGGCAUCCAUUUGAUCCUACUGUUUACCUCAAUCAUGCCGUCUGUAACAUCAUCUGCUGUGCAGUGUUUGGCAACCGGUUUGAAUAUGAGGACAAGUACUUGGCUAAUUUAGUUAACCUGAUAAGCGCAUUCUUGCAAUUUAGAUCAUCCCCCUCUGUGCAGGUAAAGGUUUUUUUCCCAGACUUGAUGAGGAUCCUGCCUGGCCCCCACAACAAACUGGCCAGAUACUUAAAUGACUUAAAAAGCUUUGUCAUGCAGAGGGUCCAGAUGCACCGGGAGUCAUUUGAUCCAAAUUGCCCUCGUGGCUUUAUUGACUGUUUCCUUGCCAAAAUGGAGCAGGAGAAGGAGAAUCCAGCUUCUGAAUUCCAUGACAAAAGCCUUUCUGCUUCAAUUCUCAACCUGUUGAUAGCAGGGACAGAGGCGGUCAGUGUCACCAUCCGAUAUGGGCUUCUCAUCCUCCUCCGGUACCCAGAGAUAGAAGCAAAGGUCCAAGAGGAGAUUGACCGUGUCAUUGGGAGGAACCGGAGCCCAAGCAUGGAGGACCGGACCCGGAUGCCCUACACAGAUGCAGUCAUCCAUGAGAUCCAGCGGUUUGGAGACAUCGCUCCACUGUCGCUGCCUCAUCUAGUGACCAGUGACACACAGUUCCAGGGGUACAGCCUUCCCAAGGGCACCAACAUUUUGGCAAUCCUAUCAACUGUCCUGCAUGACCCCCAAUACUUUGAGACGCCAGAGAAGUUCAACCCUGGCCACUUUCUGGAUGAAAAUGGGGCCUUUAAGAAGAACGAGGCUUUCCUGCCAUUUUCAGCAGGGAAAAGGAUUUGCCCAGGUGAAAGCUUGACCCGCAUGGAGCUCUUCCUAUUAUUCACGACUUUGUUGCAAAACCUAAAUGUGAAAACUCUCCAGGACCGAGACAAAAUAGACCUUUCGCCAGUAUUUCAGUGUAGCAGUAAACGUCCCAGACCCUAUCGUCUUUGCAUGGUUCCACGGUGAAUGGGCUCUGAUGAACAAGAGCUGUGAUGUCUGGCAGUCACAGAUGCAUGUGAGGCCGCCUUGAACAAAUUAGGAGAACUCCUGCCCUAAAGCAUCUUUUAGCAUUGAAAACGUUGUCCCAAACAGGCUGAAAGAGAUUGGAGAACUUUGGGAAGGAUGCUGUCCUCGCAUCAGGCCAUUGUCUCCAUAGCAGCCCCUUCUGCUGUUUCAGAGCUGCGUAGGGAGCAACCCACAGGGACCGCUGCCCAACCAUCACCCAGAUGCUCUACUGCAAAGUCAUUAACCGAACACAACUCAAAAGGAACCCACAAGGGCCUCCUCUGGGGAGGGGCUGGCAUUGCCACCACCUUAAAUUCCCCGACUUGGCUGCGCUCAGGUGGGGUGCGAGGCUCCAGCAGCCCCUCUGAGAGAUCAUGCUCCCCCUGUCAGAUGCAGGCCUGGGGGAGCCCCAUGUUAUCUCUCCGUUGGCAACAGAUGCCUGACAAUCGGCUUGCCAGCCUCUGCCCCUCCCUCUCUUCCCAGGCCACCGCACAAGCCUUCAUUGGCUUUCAAGUUUUUGUUUUCUGUUCUGACACCCUCUGCUGAAUUGGAUUCCCCCAUUCCCCUUCUGUCCAAAAUGUAGAACACCCGAGAGAUAAAAAUGAUGCUGCUUCGCUCUUA